AGAGUUUGAUCAUGGCUCAGGAUGAACGCUAGCGGGAGGCUUAACACAUGCAAGUCGAGGGGCAGUCCCGCCUUCGGGCGGGAGCGACCGGCGGACGGGUGCGUAACGCGUAUGCAACCUGCCUUAUGCAGGGGGAUAGCCCAUGGAAACGUGGAUUAAUACCUCAUAGUAUCAUAAGAUCGCAUGGUUUUAUGAUUAAAACUUUGGUGGCAUAAGAUGGGCAUGCGUAGGAUUAGCUGGUAGGUAGGGUAACGGCCUACCUAGGCGACGAUCCUUAGGGGUUCUGAGAGGAUUACCCCCCACACUGGGACUGAGACACGGCCCAGACUCCUACGGGAGGCAGCAGUGAGGAAUAUUGGUCAAUGGCCGGAAGGCUGAACCAGCCAUCCCGCGUGCAGGAUGACGGCCCUACGGGUUGUAAACUGCUUUUCUACUAGAAGAAACUACCCGACGAGUCGGGAUUUGCCGGUAUAGUAGGAAUAAGCAUCGGCUAACUCCGUGCCAGCAGCCGCGGUAAUACGGAGGAUGCAAGCGUUAUCCGGAUUCAUUGGGUUUAAAGGGUGCGCAGGUGGGCUUGUAAGUCAGUGGUGAAAUACUGCCGCUUAACGGUAGAAUUGCCAUUGAUACUGCAGGUCUUGAGUAUGGUUGAGGUAGGCGGAAUGUGUUGUGUAGCGGUGAAAUGCAUAGAUAUGACACAGAACGCCGAUUGCGGAGGCAGCUUACUAAGCCAUUACUGACGCUGAGGCACGAAAGCGUGGGAGCGAACAGGAUUAGAUACCCUAGUAGUCC
RNAcentral lists this ribosomal RNA (789 nucleotides) under uncultured bacterium. RNAcentral's name for it is "bacterial SSU rRNA". It matches the Rfam family "Bacterial small subunit ribosomal RNA", at positions 8 to 796 of the family's 1533-position model. The record is from RNAcentral.